RNAcentral lists this ribosomal RNA (403 nucleotides) under uncultured bacterium. RNAcentral describes it as "partial 16S ribosomal RNA". It matches the Rfam family "Bacterial small subunit ribosomal RNA", at positions 28 to 526 of the family's 1533-position model. The record is from RNAcentral.
GACGAACGCUGGCGGCGUGCCUAAUACAUGCAGGUCGAACGCAGUGGGGACGGGUGAGUAACACGUGGGUAACCUCCCAUCAGAGGGGAUAACACUUGGAAACAGGUGCUAAACCGAUACUGAUGGAUGGACCCGCGGUGCAUUAGCUAGUUGGUGAGGUAACGGCUCACCAAGGCCACGAUGCAUAGCAGACCUGAGAGUGGGAGCGGCCAGAUGGGGACUGAGACACGGCCCAGACUCCUACGGGAGGCAGCAGUAGGGAAUCUUCGGCAAUGGACGAAAGUCUGACCGAGCAACGCCGCGUGAGUGAAGAAGGUUUUCGGAUCGUAAAACUCUGUUAUUUGGGAAGCGGUACCUAAUCAGAAAGCCACGGCUAACUACGUGCUAGCAGCCGCGGUAAGAC